This 177-nucleotide unclassified non-coding RNA is filed under the name uncultured fungus. Its description in RNAcentral is "sequence contains ITS1, 5.8S rRNA gene, ITS2 and 28S rRNA gene". The record is from RNAcentral. Lineage: Eukaryota; Fungi.
GGAAGGAUCAUUAUUGAAAUAAACCUGAUGGGGUUGUUGCUGGUUCUCUAGGGAGCAUGUGCACGCCUUGUCACCUUUAUAUCUCCACCUGUGCACCUUUUGUAGACCUCUUCAGGUCUAUGUUGCUUCAUUUACCCCAACGUAUGUCAAUAGAAUGUUGUGCCUAUAUAUAAUAUA